Nannospalax galili (Upper Galilee mountains blind mole rat) is the source of this 1834-nucleotide RNA transcript. It is a transcript of the gene named histocompatibility minor 13, with no coding region annotated. The transcript is spliced from 14 exons. NCBI's taxonomy places the organism in Eukaryota, Metazoa, Chordata, Mammalia, Rodentia, Spalacidae. The record is from RefSeq and is a predicted model, not a curated record.
AGGAACACGUCACUUCCUGUUUCUUUAGGGGAACGUGGCUUUCACCGCUGCGCCUGACCCUCCGUCUGCGUUCUUGCUGCAGCGGCCGGAGCUGGAGUCGGAGCCCGAGCGCAGCCUAGCCAUGGAUUCGGCCCUCAGCGACCCGCACAACGGCAGCAGCGAGGCCAGCAGACCCACCAACGGCACCGCGCGGCCGCCGUCCACGCCCGAGGGCAUCGCGCUGGCCUACGGCAGCCUCCUGCUCAUGGCGCUGCUGCCCAUCUUCUUCGGCGCCCUGCGCUCGGUGCGCUGCGCCCGCGGCAAGAGCUCCUCCGACAUGCCAGAAACCAUCACCAGCCGAGACGCCGCCCGCUUCCCAAUCAUCGCCAGCUGCACUCUCCUGGGGCUCUACCUCUUUUUCAAAAUAUUCUCCCAGGAGUACAUCAACCUCUUGCUGUCCAUGUAUUUCUUCGUGCUGGGAAUUCUGGCCCUGUCCCACACCAUCAGAGGGAAAAGGAACACCUACCUACCAGGGCAGCUAAAAAGUCCCUUCAUGAAUAAGUUUUUUCCAGCCAACUUCCCAAAUCGUCAGUAUCAGCUGCUCUUCACACAGGGCUCUGGGGAAAACAAGGAAGAGAUCAUCAACUAUGAGUUUGACACUAAGGAUCUGGUGUGCCUGGGCCUAAGCACCAUCGUUGGCGUCUGGUACCUGCUGAGGAAGCACUGGAUUGCCAACAACCUGUUUGGCCUGGCCUUCUCCCUUAAUGGGGUAGAGCUCCUGCACCUGAACAACGUGAGCACUGGCUGCAUCCUCCUGGGCGGACUCUUCGUCUAUGACGUCUUCUGGGUAUUCGGCACCAAUGUGAUGGUGACGGUGGCCAAGUCCUUUGAGGCACCAAUAAAAUUGGUGUUCCCCCAGGAUCUGCUGGAGAAGGGCCUUGAGGCAGACAACUUUGCUAUGCUGGGACUUGGAGAUAUCGUCAUUCCAGGGAUCUUCAUUGCCUUGCUGCUGCGCUUUGACAUCAGCCUGAAGAAGAACACCCACACCUACUUCUACACAAGCUUCGCCGCCUACAUCUUCGGCCUGGGCCUUACCAUCUUCAUCAUGCACAUCUUCAAGCAUGCCCAGCCGGCUCUCCUGUACCUGGUCCCUGCGUGCAUCGGCUUUCCUGUCCUGGUAGCACUGGCCAAGGGAGAAGUGGCAGAGAUGUUCAGCUACGAGUCCUCGGCGGAAAUCCUGCCUCAUACGCCGAGGCUCACCCACUUCCCCACAGUCUCGGGCUCCCCCGCCAGCCUGGCCGACUCCAUGCAGCAGAAGCUAGCUGGCCCUCGUCGCAGGCGCCCGCAGAAUCCCAGCGCCAUGUAAUACCCAGCGGGUGCCCACCUGCCCGCUCCCCCCACUGUCCCAAGCCCAAGUUAUGAGGAGUCAAAUCCUAAGGAUUCAGCAGCUGCGACCGAAUCCAAAGAGGAGGCAACAGAGGCAUCGGCAUCGAAGAGGCUAGAGAAGAAAGAGAAGUGAGGCGCUGCUCCUGACCCUUGAGGGCCAGACCAGAUAGUGGGACCUGCAGUGACCUGCAGGGGACACAGGCAGAGGACUCCUGCAGGAGGUGAAGGCGGCUUCAGGAUGGGGGUGGGCCUCUGCAGCCUUUUUCCCUCCCCCCUUCCUUGGCCUCCCCUUUGCUCCUCAUUCCCUGCAGGCAAAGGAAACCCUCAGCUUCCUCUUUCCCCAGGAGCCAGGUGGGAACUGGGUGUGGAUUUUUGAUUUUUGUAUUGUGGACUGACUUUUCCUCACAUUAAAAACUCAUCCCAUGGCUGAAGGGCCUGCUGUGCUCUUCCAGGGUUCUAAGCAUCUUCA